GACGAACGCGGCGGCGUGCUUAACACAUGCAAGUCGAACGCUGAAGGCCCAGCUUGCUGGGUGGAUGAGUGGCGAACGGGUGAGUAACACGUGAGUAACCUGCCCCCUUCUUUGGGAUAACGGUCGGAAACGGCUGCUAAUACCGGGUAUUCACUGUCCUUCGCAUGGGGGGUGGUGGAAAGGUUUUUUCUGGUGGGGGAUGGGCUCGCGGCCUAUCAGCUUGUUGGUGGGGUGAUGGCUUACCAAGGCUUUGACGGGUAACCGGCCUGAGAGGGUGACCGGUCACAUUGGGACUGAGAUACGGCCCAGACUCCUACGGGAGGCAGCAGUGGGGAAUAUUGCACAAUGGGCGAAAGCCUGAUGCAGCGACGCCGCGUGAGGGAUGGAGGCCUUCGGGUUGUAAACCUCUUUCGCUCAUGGUCAAGCCGCAACUUGGGUUGUGGUGAGGGUAGUGGGUAAAGAAGCACCGGCUAACUACGUGCCAGCAGCCGCGGUAAUACGUAGGGUGCGAGCGUUGUCCGGAAUUAUUGGGCGUAAAGGGCUUGUAGGCGGUUUGUCGCGUCUGCCGUGAAAUCCUCUGGCUUAACUGGGGGCGUGCGGUGGGUACGGGCAGGCUUGAGUGCGGUAGGGGAGACUGGAACUCCUGGUGUAGCGGUGGAAUGCGCAGAUAUCAGGAAGAACACCGGUGGCGAAGGCGGGUCUCUGGGCCGUUACUGACGCUGAGGAGCGAAAGCGUGGGGAGCGAACAGG
RNAcentral lists this ribosomal RNA (750 nucleotides) under uncultured Actinomyces sp. RNAcentral's name for it is "bacterial SSU rRNA". It matches the Rfam family "Bacterial small subunit ribosomal RNA", at positions 28 to 776 of the family's 1533-position model. The record is from RNAcentral. Lineage: Bacteria; Bacillati; Actinomycetota; Actinomycetes; Actinomycetales; Actinomycetaceae.